Molecule: ribosomal RNA, 253 nt
Filed under: uncultured bacterium
Lineage: Bacteria
Description: partial 16S ribosomal RNA
Rfam family: Bacterial small subunit ribosomal RNA
Source: RNAcentral
UACGUAGGGGGCCAGCGUUGUCCGGAAUCAUUGGGCGUAAAGCGCGCGUAGGCGGUCAGGUAAGUCCGGUGUGAAAGUCAUAGGCUCAACCUAUGGAUGCCGCUGGAAACUGCCUGACUUGAGUCCGGGAGGGGCGAGUGGAAUUCCUGGUGUAGCGGUGAAAUGCGUUGAGAUCGGAAGGAACGCCCGUGGCGAAAGCGAGGUCCUGGACGUCUUCUGACGCUGAGACGCGAAAGCCAGGGGAGCGAACGGG